GAUAAGUAAUGUGAAUUGCAGAAUUCAGUGAAUCAUCGAAUCUUUGAACGCACCUUGCGCUCUUUGGUAUUCCGAAGAGCAUGCCUGUUUGAGUGUCAUGUUUACCCUCAACCCCCUUGGAUUUUUUAUUCGAGUGUGGGUUGGAUGUGGAGGUUGCUGGAUUUUACUAUUCAGCUCCUCUUAAAUGUAUUAGUGUGAAUGUUACUGAACGUUCUCCAGUGUGAUAAUUAUCUGCGCUGUUGGACUUUGGUAUUUCAUAAGUUCACGCUUCUAACCGUCCGUAAGGACAAUACACUUUACGUUUGACCUCAAAUCAGGUAGGACUACCCGCUGAACUUAAGCAUAUCAAUAAGCGGAGGAAAAGAAACUAACAAGGAUUCCCCUAGUAACUGCGAGUGAAGCGGGAAAAGCUCAAAUUUAAAAUCUGGCAGUCUUUGGCUGUCCGAGUUGUAGUCUGGAGAAGCGUUUUCCGCGUUGGACCGUGUAUAAGUCUCUUGGAACAGAGCGUCAUAGAGGGUGAGAAUCCCGUCUUUGACACGGACUACCAAUGCUUUGUGAUGCGCUCUCAAAGAGUCGAGUUGUUUGGGAAUGCAGCUCAAAAUGGGUGGUAAAUUCCAUCUAAAGCUAAAUAUUGGCGAGAGACCGAUAGCGAACAAGUACCGUGAGGGAAAGAUGAAAAGCACUUUGGAAAGAGAGUUAAACAGUACGUGAAAUUGCUGAAAGGGAAACGCUUGAAGUCAGUCGCGUCGUUCAGAACUCAACCUGGCUUUUGCUUGGUGUAAUUUCUGCGCGACGGGCCAGCAUCAAUUUUGAUCAUUGGAAAAAGUCCAGAGGAAUGUGGCACCUUCGGGUGUGUUAUAGCCUUUGGUCGUAUACAAUGGUUGGGAUUGAGGAUCUCAGCACGCCUUUAUGGUCGGGGUUCGCCCACGUUCGUGCUUAGGAUGCUGGCGUAAUGGCUUUAAACGACCNGUCUUGAAACACGGACCAAGGAGUCUAACAUGCCUGCGAGUGUUUGGGUGGAAAACCCGAGCGCGUAAUGAAAGUGAAAGUUGGGAUCUCUGUCAUGGAGAGCACCGACGCCCGGACCAGACCUUUUGUGACGGUUCCGCGGUAGAGCAUGUAUGUUGGGACCCGAAAGAUGGUGAACUAUGCCUGAAUAGGGUGAAGCCAGAGGAAACUCUGGUGGAGGCUCGUAGCGAUUCUGACGUGCAAAUCGAUCGUCAAAUUUGGGUAUAGGGGCGAAAGACUAAUCGAACCAUCUAGUAGCUGGUUCCUGCCGAAGUUUCCCUCAGGAUAGCAGAAACUCAUGUCAGAUUUAUGUGGUAAAGCGAAUGAUUAGAGGCCUUGGGGUUGAAACAACCUUAACCUAUUUCUCAAA
Molecule: ribosomal RNA, 1378 nt
Rfam family: Eukaryotic large subunit ribosomal RNA (bases 304-1378)